GACGGAGGAGGCAAGCGUUAUCCGGAAUUAUUGGGCGUAAAGCGUCCGUAGGUGGUUAAUCAAGUCUUUUGUUAAAGAGUAGAGCUUAACUCUAUAGAGGCGGAAGAAACUGAAUAACUGGAGUGUGGUAGGGGUAGAGGGAAUUCCCGGUGUAGCGGUGAAAUGCGUAGAUAUCGGGAAGAACACCAGUGGCGAAGGCGCUCUACUGGGCCACAACUGACACUGAGGUGCGAAAGCGUGGGGAGCAAACAGG
This 253-nucleotide ribosomal RNA is filed under the name uncultured bacterium. Its description in RNAcentral is "partial 16S ribosomal RNA". It matches the Rfam family "Bacterial small subunit ribosomal RNA", at positions 524 to 776 of the family's 1533-position model. The record is from RNAcentral.